This 119-nucleotide ribosomal RNA is filed under the name Bison bison bison. The record is from RNAcentral. Lineage: Eukaryota; Metazoa; Chordata; Mammalia; Artiodactyla; Bovidae.
GUCUCAGGCCGGAUCAGCCUGAAGGCGCCCGAUCUCGUCUGAUCUCGGAAGCUAAGCAGGGUCGGUCUGCUUAGUAUCUUGGAUGGGAGACCACCUGGGAAUCCCGGGUGCUCGAGGCU